This is a non-coding RNA of Acanthosepion pharaonis, 102 nucleotides long. The record is from the annotation of a GenBank genome assembly. Lineage: Eukaryota; Metazoa; Mollusca; Cephalopoda; Sepiida; Sepiidae.
UAUCACGUUGAAACACCGGUUCUCGUGAGAUCACUGAAGUUAAGCAAUAUCAAGCCUGGUCAGUACCUAGAUGGGUGAACACUUGGGAAUACACGGACUGUA